GAUGAACGCUGGCGGCGUGCCUAAUACAUGCAAGUCGAGCGAACGGACGAGAAGCUUGCUUCUCUGAUGUUAGCGGCGGACGGGUGAGUAACACGUGGAUAACCUACCUAUAAGACUGGGAUAACUUCGGGAAACCGGAGCUAAUACCGGAUAAUAUUUUGAACCGCAUGGUUCAAAAGUGAAAGACGGUCUUGCUGUCACUUAUAGAUGGAUCCGCGCUGCAUUAGCUAGUUGGUAAGGUAACGGCUUACCAAGGCAACGAUGCAUAGCCGACCUGAGAGGGGGAUGGGCACAUCGGGAAAUGAGCAACGCUACAGAAUCCUACGGGGGGCCACAGUAGGGAAUCUUCAGGAAAGGGCAAAACCCUGAAGGGGAAACGCGGGGUGGGUGUAGAAGGUCUUCGGAUGGUAAAACUUUGUUAUUGGGGAAAAACAUUUGUGUAAGUAACUGUGCACAUUUUGACGGUACCUACUAAGAAAGCCCCGGCUAACUACGU
RNAcentral lists this ribosomal RNA (496 nucleotides) under uncultured bacterium. RNAcentral describes it as "partial 16S ribosomal RNA". It matches the Rfam family "Bacterial small subunit ribosomal RNA", at positions 28 to 506 of the family's 1533-position model. The record is from RNAcentral.